RNAcentral lists this long non-coding RNA (1124 nucleotides) under Physcomitrium patens. Its description in RNAcentral is "long non-coding RNA (PPAT_LNC011671)". The record is from RNAcentral. Lineage: Eukaryota; Viridiplantae; Streptophyta; Bryopsida; Funariales; Funariaceae.
UUAGUAUUUUAUGUACUACGAAGUCAAAUAAAAUAUUUGAUAUAACUUGGGAAAAAAGGUUCGGAAUAAUUUGGCUAAUAAUUCAAUAAAACACUGUACAAAAAUACAAUGGAUUAACUAUAACCAUUUUUUUGUACAAAAAAUAAUGCUCCUUCUGAUCUGAAUAAAAAUAAUUCUAAAUAAAAUUUCACAAUUUUAUAUAUCCAAUACGAUGUACAACUUGAUUUUUCAAUGUAUCUCGUUUAGAUGAUUUUGAAGUAAGAUGCUGCAUGUUGAAUUCCCUUUUGUUAUCUGUAUGAUGAUUAACUAUAUGAGAUUAAAGAGUUAUGUAAGAGUUAUUUUCAUAGAAUUCAAGUGAUCUUUAUGUACAAAGAAAAUCUUUAAAACUAAGUGUUGAAUUUAAUGACACAAUUUAAGGUCAAACAAGAUAUAUAUAUUUUUUGGAAAUUAUUGGAAAGAAUUGCUAUAUUGAAGCGGCUGAUAUUCAAAAGUAAUAAAUAUGAUAAUUUAGGUAAUUGACUUUUAUAUAUUCCUUUAUAAUCUAUAAAACUAAAAUGAUAUUAAAUUUUCUCCAAAAAAUAAAAAUAAUAAUAGAAGUAGAGCAAAGAUAUUUACAAUUAAUUAUAAUAAAUCGUAUUAUUUGUAUAUUCUUUUGUGUUGCACAGAUACCAAAUUGAUCAUUUUAUAUCGAUAACUAGAUAAUUCUAAAGACUAAAACUAAAUGAACAUCUCGAUUAUAUCAACCAUUUGGUGACAGAGAAUAUUCACCUUGUCAAAUGAGCAUACAUUUAUUAGUGUUGAUUAAGAAUAAUAGUAAACAUUUAAAAUUUUAUACAUAAUACUAUUAUAUUUUAAAUAAAAAGUAGGAUAAAUUUUAAAUUAAUGAUAUCAAAAAUUUAAUAACAGACAACACCAACUUUAAAACAUAGAUUUUAAAAAAAGGAUUAUGAAUUUACAAGACUACUUAGAUUUUUUUUUUGUAUUUUUGAAAUAUUAAACAUUGAUUCUUAUAAUGAUCAUUGAUGUAAACUAUAAUAGAGUUAUUUUUACACCUUCUAAUAAAAUAUCGAUUUAUAAGAAAAAAUAUUUAAUUCUUCAUUGGAUAUAAAUUCAUAAAUGUAUGG